AAAAAAAAAAAAAAAAAGAAAGAUCACUUUAGAUUUGACUUUGGCUGUUGAUGCAGAAACUCUCACAUCGGAAAGGGUUUAUCCUUUUUGUCUUACAAUAUUUUUUAAUUAUAUAUAUCAAAUGGUAACUCUAUUUUUUUUUUAUUAAUUAUCUAUUUUUAUUUUCCUUUUGUUUUUUAAUAUUCAGCUUCAGGGAAUAGCUCUUGAAAAUGAUGUGUCUUUUGUGUGAAUAAACUAAUUUUCUGUUAUUUUGUUAAUGCAGCAAUGCAUCACUGCCUGCCUGCUCAAGUUGCAUUUUGGUAAUUGCGAACCAUAAGUGAUUUGAGAAAAGCAUUUGGAGCUUCACAAGUGGCGGUUACUGGACAAUUGUUUCCUGACUGGAGCAAAUAUACUGUAGGGAACUCCUAUUUCAUAUUGCAUAG
This 422-nucleotide unclassified non-coding RNA is filed under the name Hevea brasiliensis (rubber tree). Lineage: Eukaryota; Viridiplantae; Streptophyta; Magnoliopsida; Malpighiales; Euphorbiaceae. The record is from RNAcentral.